AACGAACGCUGGCGGCAUGCCUAACACAUGCAAGUCGAACGAGACCUUCGGGUCUAGUGGCGCACGGGUGCGUAACGCGUGGGAACCUGCCCUUAGGUUCGGAAUAACUCCCCGAAAGGGGUGCUAAUACCGGAUAAGGUCUUCGGACCAAAGAUUUAUCGCCUUUGGAUGGGCCCGAGUUGGAUUAGCUAGUUGGUAGGGUAAAAGCCUACCAAGGCGACGAUCCAUAGCUGGUCUGAGAGGAUGAUCAGCCACACUGGGACUGAGACACGGCCCAGACUCCUACGGGAGGCAGCAGUGGGGAAUAUUGCACAAUGGGCGAAAGCAUGAUCCAGCAAUGCCGCGUGAGUGAUGAAGGCCUUAGGGUUGUAAAGCUCUUUUACCCGGGAUGAUAAUGACAGUACCGGGAGAAUAAGCUCCGGCUAACUCCGUG
RNAcentral lists this ribosomal RNA (433 nucleotides) under uncultured bacterium. Its description in RNAcentral is "partial 16S ribosomal RNA". It matches the Rfam family "Bacterial small subunit ribosomal RNA", at positions 29 to 507 of the family's 1533-position model. The record is from RNAcentral.